GCCAAACAAGACCUUUGUCAUAUAGUUCAUCAAUUAAUUACUCCCUAAAGUUUGAAAAAUUACAUCCCUCUCAACAAUGUUAAUGGUUUUCAAGAGUAUGCUACAAGAGCUCCAUCCACCCCAGCCUCCUACCUGCUUAACCACCUGAACCAGACAGAUAUAACAGACUAACAGAGAGCAGCUAGAAAAUAAUCAUGACUCUGGGAAAGCUACCUCUUGCCGUUCAUGGCGGAUGCAAUGAUCUGAGGAAAGGUUCCCUAGAGCAUGAUGAAAUUACAAAACCAUCCUGCCAAUGAGGAAGAAGAAAAGGCAAAGAACAAAGAAAUGCACCAAAGUUACCUAUUUCAGGCCAAGGCAUCAACGUUUUCUCAUCUUGUUUUCAAUCUGGUGUUUGGGCAUAAAUUAUAUCGUGUACACGCUUCCACUCAAAAAGUGAGGCUUGGAGACGUGAAAUAUAUGCAUUUCUUACAAAAGCAUUCACACGAACACCCACCAGUUGCUAUCACUUCAGAGCGAUUGCAGCCACUGCUAUGGGCUUUAAUUAUUCUUACAUGCACCAGUACAUUACAGAAACCAAAGGAAAGGACCUUAGAGAACUCAAUAAUGGGUCAACUCAACUCCAAUUAUUGAACAAGGUGUCAAACUGUUGCAUAAUGGAGCUGUAAAUCAAGAAGAAAACAACUGUGCAGAGGAAUUUAUGAAUUGAGAGAAGAAUUUCUUAAUUUAGAAUUAUGACAAAGAAUGAUUCCCGGCUCAAUUGGGGAACAAUUGCUUCUAAAAAAAAAAAAAAACUUUAUCCCGUGAUUAAAUUAUAUGCCUAAUUCUGGCACUACUUUUCU
Molecule: unclassified non-coding RNA, 839 nt
Filed under: Hevea brasiliensis (rubber tree)
Lineage: Eukaryota; Viridiplantae; Streptophyta; Magnoliopsida; Malpighiales; Euphorbiaceae
Source: RNAcentral